Molecule: transfer RNA, 71 nt
Filed under: Graptodytes pietrii
Lineage: Eukaryota; Metazoa; Arthropoda; Insecta; Coleoptera; Dytiscidae
Description: tRNA-Lys
Source: RNAcentral
CAUUAGAUGGCUGAAAGUAAGUAUUGGUCUCUUAAACCAAUUUAUAGUAAAUUAACAUAUACUUCUAAUGA